UACAGAGGGGGCAAGCGUUAUUCGGAAUUACUGGGCGUAAAGGGUGCGUAGGCGGGUCUUUAAGUCAGGGGUGAAAUCCUGGAGCUCAACUCCAGAACUGCCUUUGAUACUGAAGAUCUUGAGUUCGGGAGAGGUGAGUGGAACUGCGAGUGUAGAGGUGAAAUUCGUAGAUAUCGGGUAGAACACCAGUGGCGAAGGCGGCUCUCUGGACGGAUACUGACGCUGAGACGCGAAAGCGUGGGGAGCAAACAGG
RNAcentral lists this ribosomal RNA (253 nucleotides) under uncultured bacterium. RNAcentral describes it as "partial 16S ribosomal RNA". It matches the Rfam family "Bacterial small subunit ribosomal RNA", at positions 524 to 776 of the family's 1533-position model. The record is from RNAcentral.